GGGAGGCACCCAAGGAAUCCUCUAGGGGAGUGGGGGUGGGCUGCAUCUUGCCCUUCCAAGAGCUUGCGGUGGCUGGGGCUGCGCUGGGGGUGCCGAAAGGUGGCCGUGUGGCCCAUCUCCAUGAACUGGUGGACUUGAGCAGAAUGCUGACCCUGAGCUACAUAACCGCCUGGUCCUCAGAAGUGCCUGGAGUGGCUGUGGAAGAAAAAAAGGCAGAAGCCACAGCUGGCCCCUGGGAACCGAAGAUGGUAGAAUGCCAGGCAUGCAUCAGAGGACCAGCUGAGACCUUUGCAAUCCUGAAAGACUUAAGUGAAGAUGACUACUUGGUUCACAUUGGCUAAAAGAGCCCUUUAAGGCAAGUUCCUGUCAUUUUACAGAUUGGGAAACUGAGGCUCCUGGGAUGGAACCCGCUAGCCCAAGAACACAUCUCUACCUCUCUCUCUGUCUCUGUCUCUCUCUCUCCAUGGUUCUUUUUCCUCUGCAUCCCUUUAUAUUCUCCACUGUCUGUCUUGACUUUGCCCCUCAAAUUAGUGAACACGCAAUAGAAAGCAUGGUCUGUGCUCCAGCCCCACAGCCCUGCAACCCCACACAGCCUUGCAACCCCACAGCCCUGCAACCUUACACAGCCCUGCAGCCCCAUAGCCCUGCAACCCUGCAUCCCUGCAGCCACACAGCCCUACAGCCCACUGCCUGCUCUACAGCUCUGCAUCCCUACUGCCCUGCAGUCAUGAGACCCUGCAGCUGCACAGCCGGGACACGAGAGCAAAGGGGGCUCUCCUCACCAUGGCCAGGGCAGGAAACCUCAGCAAAUGCCUUGACUGGAUCUGGUGCCCAGUCCUGGACCAGUCACUGUUGAACCUUGGUCAUGUGCCAACCCUGCAGCUGAGACAGUGAGUCGGUGAGUGUGGACCUCCACAAGCCCUGUGGGCAGACCACAGGAAGAGUCCCUGUGUUCCAUGGCAAUGGGAAGCUGACCAGGAGCUCCCUCCCAUUCUUCCCCACCUCUGGCACUCUGUCCUUGGAGCACAGUAUUCUUUACUGCCAUUCUCCAGACCCUCACCUGGGACGAUGGAUGUGAGAGCACAUCCCUCCAUUUCUUCUGAGAUGGCAGUCUCUAGGAUGCUCACUAAAUUACUCUAGAAAUUCCUAACACUGACAUUUAUUGGGCCUUGGCCAAGGCAUCAGACAGUGUGAAGUAUAUUGCUUGGAUGAAGUCAAGUCAACCCUGCAGACACACAGGUGAGGCAGAAGCCAUUAUUGUCUCUGUCUUGCUGAUGAGGUAGCUGAGGUGCUGGGUGCUGGAGUGAGCCGCCAUGUGAGAUCAGGGAAAGGUAGUGUUCAAAGUCAGGGUUGUUGCAGUCACCCAGUGCCCUGGGAAGCUGUGGUAAGCCAGCUCACUCUGGGCUGGGCAGCAGAGAGGGGUGAGCCCCUAGCCUGCUUCAGGAGUUUUCAAGACAUGUACUGUCUAUGACACAGGCCUAAGAGCCAACACUGUGGAACUCUGCCUUCACAAUCCAUUUUGGAGAAAAGAGAGCAGCAUCUGAUAGUGAGCCACUCACCUACUGAGAGGCACAAAAAGUGGGCCACGGAGACUGCGAUUCACGUCUGCCUGGCUGAACGCCAUGCAACACACUUUUCUGCAGAGUAAACAAUCCUAGGUUUGAGCCUGGGGCAAGGGUGUGAAAGCGGCAAGGCUCUUUGGGAAGAUGACAAAGACUUUUGGGGAAGUGACAGUCCUCUUCCUACAUCCAGUGCCCACUCUCAUAUGGAGAACGACUGUGGCCCUGGGGACAGGUGGGAGAGAGGAGCUGUCCACUCCACUCGCUCAGGAUUUGCUCAGAGAGGGGUUUGUGCCCACACAGAUGCUGCAUUCUUCACAAUUAGUGGCAAGUGACAGAGUGUGGCUUGAAUUGGUUUAAGGGGGGAUAGGGAAGAGAUUUUCUUUCUGAAAAGCUCAGAGAAAUCUGCUUCAGGCAUGGCUUGAUCAAGGAACUUAAUGUCCACAGACAUCUCUGCCAGGCUCAAGCAGUACCAUCAGCCACAUGGGCUCUGCUUUCUAAAAGGUCUCACUUCCUGAAGGCAGGCUACCCAACAGACACCCAGGAGACACGCUAGACGGACACACAGUUAACAGCUCCUGAAAGGGGAAGUCCUAUUUACAUUUAUUCUCAAUUCCAAGAUUUGAGUGUUCUGGGGUUUGUUUGGGCCACAGGUCCCUCCAUCUGUGAAACAUGGUGAUCCCACAGAGGUAGAAGUAGUGACUGACUCAGGCUACGCCCUCUACUACCCCGUGACAUUGAAGGAGAGUCAGGCUGUGGCCUGUGAUGGACUGUGCUGAGUGAGGAGAAGCCAUCUGGGCAUCCCAGAAGUGAAGCAUAGCUGGAGACCAGGGGAUGAAAGGGAAGGCUGUGAGACUCAACUACACAGGAAUAAACGGGGCUGCAGGCCUUCUGGGGAGCUCAGAGCAGGGAUUCCAUAGAGGUAGAGAGCAGAGAUGAGGACAAAGGCUUUGGCUGGAUUCAUGAUUUGAGGUCUUAGACAGUGUCUCCCUCUCCCUCUCCCUCUCCCUCUCCCUCUCCCCAU
This is a long non-coding RNA of Mus musculus (house mouse), 2583 nucleotides long. RefSeq annotates it as predicted gene 12111. Lineage: Eukaryota; Metazoa; Chordata; Mammalia; Rodentia; Muridae. The transcript has 3 exons. The record is from RefSeq and is marked validated.